This 1372-nucleotide ribosomal RNA is filed under the name uncultured bacterium. RNAcentral's name for it is "bacterial SSU rRNA". It matches the Rfam family "Bacterial small subunit ribosomal RNA", at positions 28 to 1381 of the family's 1533-position model. The record is from RNAcentral.
GAUGAACGCUGGCGGCGUGCCUAAUACAUGCAAGUCGAGCGAACGGACGAGAAGCUUGCUUCUCUGAUGUUAGCGGCGGACGGGUGAGUAACACGUGGAUAACCUACCUAUAAGACUGGGAUAACUUCGGGAAACCGGAGCUAAUACCGGAUGAUAUUUUGAACCGCAUGGUUCAAAAGUGAAAGACGGUCUUGCUGUCACUUAUAGAUGGAUCCGCGCUGCAUUAGCUAGUUGGUAAGGUAACGGCUUACCAAGGCAACGAUGCAUAGCCGACCUGAGAGGGUGAUCGGCCACACUGGAACUGAGACACGGUCCAGACUCCUACGGGAGGCAGCAGUAGGGAAUCUUCCGCAAUGGGCGAAAGCCUGACGGAGCAACGCCGCGUGAGUGAUGAAGGUCUUCGGAUCGUAAAACUCUGUUAUUAGGGAAGAACAUAUGUGUAAGUAACUGUGCACAUCUUGACGGUACCUAAUCAGAAAGCCACGGCUAACUACGUGCCAGCAGCCGCGGUAAUACGUAGGUGGCAAGCGUUAUCCGGAAUUAUUGGGCGUAAAGCGCGCGUAGGCGGUUUUUUAAGUCUGAUGUGAAAGCCCACGGCUCAACCGUGGAGGGUCAUUGGAAACUGGAAAACUUGAGUGCAGAAGAGGAAAGUGGAAUUCCAUGUGUAGCGGUGAAAUGCGCAGAGAUAUGGAGGAACACCAGUGGCGAAGGCGACUUUCUGGUCUGUAACUGACGCUGAUGUGCGAAAGCGUGGGGAUCAAACAGGAUUAGAUACCCUGGUAGUCCACGCCGUAAACGAUGAGUGCUAAGUGUUAGGGGGUUUCCGCCCCUUAGUGCUGCAGCUAACGCAUUAAGCACUCCGCCUGGGGAGUACGACCGCAAGGUUGAAACUCAAAGGAAUUGACGGGGACCCGCACAAGCGGUGGAGCAUGUGGUUUAAUUCGAAGCAACGCGAAGAACCUUACCAAAUCUUGACAUCCUUUGACAACUCUAGAGAUAGAGCCUUCCCCUUCGGGGGACAAAGUGACAGGUGGUGCAUGGUUGUCGUCAGCUCGUGUCGUGAGAUGUUGGGUUAAGUCCCGCAACGAGCGCAACCCUUAAGCUUAGUUGCCAUCAUUAAGUUGGGCACUCUAAGUUGACUGCCGGUGACAAACCGGAGGAAGGUGGGGAUGACGUCAAAUCAUCAUGCCCCUUAUGAUUUGGGCUACACACGUGCUACAAUGGACAAUACAAAGGGCAGCGAAACCGCGAGGUCAAGCAAAUCCCAUAAAGUUGUUCUCAGUUCGGAUUGUAGUCUGCAACUCGACUACAUGAAGCUGGAAUCGCUAGUAAUCGUAGAUCAGCAUGCUACGGUGAACACGUUCCCGGGUCU